CCUGCGACCUUGAGGCUCCGGGCGUGGGAUUGGCAUAUAUAUUGCAGGGGCGUCAGGGCAGAGGCAGGCAGGCAGCAGUCGAGGACGAAACUAGCAAUAUGAGACUCUUGGUACUUUUGGCUUUUGUGUUGGGGUGCAACGCGAACCUGGUGGUGCUGCCGUUCCCGGUGGCGCAGCAGUACCGCUCGCAGGACCUGUUCGGACAGACCUCCUUCGGCCACUUCAGCUUCGACCAGAACCAGCAGCAGACCCGUCUCGCUGAUGGCACCGUCGUCGGAUAUUACUCCUACAUCGGCGCCGACGGCAAGCCCGCCGUCACCAUCUACGAGGCCGGCCGACAGGGCUUCCAAGUGAAGGGCUCCAACAUCCUGCCAGAGGGUCCCGCAGUCCCCGCCGCCCCCAGCUGAAAGCACCCGAGCCGGUAGAGGAAACAGCCGAAGUGCUCCAGGCGCGCGCUGAGUUCCAGCAGAAGUUCGACGAGGCGACCAGCACCCGCAGGCGCCGCGAGGUGCAGAUCCCCCUGCCGUACUUCCACCCGGUCCCCACCGUGGCCAAGCACAAGUUCGAGACCAAGCAGUUCGAGCCGGUCGACGCCAACACCCCCGCCGACACCAAGAAGAUCGAGCUCACCACCAAGGAGCACGAGAUCUCCGUGCCCGCCGUCAAGUACGUGCAGCCCGUGGUCAACGUCAAGCCCGUCACCUACACUGCUGCCUCCCCAGCGGUCCUGCCUUACACCUUCCCCUUCGCCUCCACCUUCCCCUUCCAGACCUCCUUCCCGCUGGUCCCUGUCAAGACUGCGGAAUAGACUUUCUUUCAUUCUUUCCGAAGUCCCUGAAACGUUCCGAUGACCCCAGCCAACGUUGUUUUUGCCUCACACUUUAUCGCGAUCGGCGCCUCGACACUUAAGGUCCAUAUGCACUCUGGACAUUAAGUGCAUGCUUGGCGGUCGUUGUAAAGCGUGUGCAUUCAUGACCAUUUAGCCAUCGCACUUCAUCGUGAACGCGUGCACUGGUGUGGAUGUGCGUAGAUGUUUUUUGCUGAUACGGAACUUAAACGGUUAAAAAAUAAGACUGAGGUAAAGGCUGAGUGACGCGCUGUCAAUUCGCAAAAGAAAACAAUAAAAAAAUACAUGAAAUUAUA
Penaeus vannamei (Pacific white shrimp) is the source of this 1143-nucleotide non-coding RNA. The record is from RefSeq and is a predicted model, not a curated record. NCBI's taxonomy places the organism in Eukaryota, Metazoa, Arthropoda, Malacostraca, Decapoda, Penaeidae.